ACUCCUACGGGAGGCAGCAGUGGGGAAUAUUGGACAAUGGGGGCAACCCUGAUCCAGCCAUGCCGCGUGAGUGAUGAAGGCCCUAGGGUUGUAAAGCUCUUUCAGCGAGGAGGAUAAUGACGUUACUCGCAGAAGAAGCCCCGGCUAACUUCGUGCCAGCAGCCGCGGUAAUACGAAGGGGGCUAGCGUUGUUCGGAAUCACUGGGGCGUAAAGCGCACGUAGGCGGAUUGAUAAGUUAGGGGGUGAAAUCCCGGGGCUCAACCUCGGAACUGCCUUUGAUACUGUCAGUCUUGAGUCCGAGAGAGGUGAGUGGAACUCCGAGUGUAGAGGUGAAAUUCGUAGAUAUUCGAAGAACACCAGUGGCGAAGGCGGCUCACUGGCUCGGUACUGACGCUGAGGUGCGAAAGCGU
This 411-nucleotide ribosomal RNA is filed under the name uncultured bacterium. Its description in RNAcentral is "bacterial SSU rRNA". It matches the Rfam family "Bacterial small subunit ribosomal RNA", at positions 335 to 762 of the family's 1533-position model. The record is from RNAcentral.